GACGAACGCUGGCGGCGUGCCUAAUACAUGCAAGUAGAACGCUGAAGGAGUUGCUUGCUUCUCUGGAUGAGUUGCGCACGGGUGAGUAACGCGUAUGUAACCUGCCUUUUAGCUUGUGAUAACUUUUGGAAACGAUUGCUAAUACCGCAUAAUAUUAUAUGUUGCAUGACAUUUUCUUUAAAGUUUCAUUUUCUUCACUACCAGUUGGACCUGCGUUGUUUUAUCUUGUUGGUGUGGUAACGGCUCACCAAGGCGACGAUACAUAGCCGACCUGUUAGGGUGAACGGCCAAAAUGGGAAUGGGACAAGGCACAGAAUAAGAAGGGAGGGAGGAGGAGGGAAACAUCGGAAAUGGACGGAAGUCAGAACGAGGAAAGACGAGGGAGUGAAGAAGGAUUUCGGAUCGGAAAGAACUGUUGUAAGAGAAGAACGAGAGGGAGAGUGGAAAGUUCACAGUGUGACGGUAGCUGACAAGAAAGGGACGGCUAACUACGUG
Molecule: ribosomal RNA, 495 nt
Filed under: uncultured bacterium
Lineage: Bacteria
Description: partial 16S ribosomal RNA
Rfam family: Bacterial small subunit ribosomal RNA
Source: RNAcentral